AUUGAACGCUGGCGGCAUGCCUUACACAUGCAAGUCGAACGGCAGCACGGGAGCAAUCCUGGUGGCGAGUGGCGAACGGGUGAGUAAUAUAUCGGAACGUGCCCAGUCUGGGGGAUAACGUAGCGAAAGCUACGCUAAUACCGCAUACGAUCUAUGGAUAGAAAGGCGGGGGAGUCGCAAGACCUCGCGCGAUUGGAGCGGCCGAUAUCAGAUUAGGUAGUUGGUGAGGUAAGGCUCACAAGCCGACGAUCUGUAGCUGGUCUGAGAGGACGACCAG
Molecule: ribosomal RNA, 277 nt
Filed under: uncultured bacterium
Lineage: Bacteria
Description: partial 16S ribosomal RNA
Rfam family: Bacterial small subunit ribosomal RNA
Source: RNAcentral